Epinephelus moara (kelp grouper) is the source of this 764-nucleotide long non-coding RNA. RefSeq lists it as uncharacterized. The transcript is spliced from 3 exons. The record is from RefSeq and is a predicted model, not a curated record. Lineage: Eukaryota; Metazoa; Chordata; Actinopteri; Perciformes; Serranidae.
GUUUGCAGAGAGAAUUUUACAGGGGGAGUCAAUCGAUCUUGACACUUCAAAGAAGGCAGUACACAAGUUGAGGCUGGACAUAGCCACUUCCCCCCCUCAGAGAAUCUGAUGAUCUAAGCAGCCUGUGCUUUUAUUGUGGGAUGGAGGACCAGGAUGAAACACAAUAGAUUUGCUGUGACGUCUGUCAGAAGUGGUACCACCAUGAAUGUUGUUGGGAAUAGAAUGAUUUUGUGUGUUUUACUAUAAGUUGUGUUUCACUAUAUAAGUUUUAGAUGUGUGAACAAUGAGAAUACUGAAUGAUUUCAGCUGAUCUGAAUGUGUUUGCUUUGCAGAAGUGGAGAAGUACAGGAGAGGAAGAGACAUGAAGUCUGAGGAGCACAUACCGCAAUGCUUAGAUAAUUAGUUUCAUAUAUGGUAAAAAGAAUAGAAAGUGAUGUACAGAUAGUAAGGUACAGCACAUGUAGGGAGUUGUGUUGUUCUCUUGUCUUUCAAAACAGGAACCACGCCCCCACCGCCAGCGGGAAGGAGUCAGAUUAACACGAGGCAGGGGCGUGGUGUGGUGAAGGAGGGAGUGGAACUGCCAAUGAGAAGAGGACAAUGCCUCGCGUGCACAAUGACACUCUGUUACGCUCAAAUAUACUGGGUCAGGGGAAGGACAGGAGGUCAGACUUCGUGAACUGACACACCUUUGUUGUUCGGCAGGGACGUGAAGUUGAGAGCCAGAGCUCUGUAAUUUUAUUCCUUUACUGCUUAAUAAACUACAU